RNAcentral lists this small RNA (1895 nucleotides) under Pongo abelii (Sumatran orangutan). Its description in RNAcentral is "retained intron". Lineage: Eukaryota; Metazoa; Chordata; Mammalia; Primates; Hominidae. The record is from RNAcentral.
AUGAUGCAUCCUAAAUACAGGAGGUACAUGUAUGUGGCAAAAAUGGCAACAUCUUGUGAACAAUGUCGUGAUCCAAACUUGACGGGGAGGGGAGCAGGGAGGAAGGUAACCUGCACCCUGACGUCUUCAGGGGAGGACACACAAGCACCCUAUCAGGUGGCCUCUCUUGAAAACCCUUGCCCCCACGAUCGGCCCCCCGCUCUCCCCACUCACUGCCUUGUCUCCACCCCUCGACCUCCUUGCUCUCCUGCCGCUGACUUUGGGACCCCUAUCCUGCAGGCUGUCCUGGAAUCUCCUCGGGGAUGAGGCGGCUGCCGAGCUGGCCCAGGUGCUGCCGCAGAUGGGCCGGCUGAAGAGAGUGGAGUAUGAGGGACCAGGGGAGGAAUGGGACGGGCUGAAGGGGGACCUACAUCCCGGGAACACCAAGAGGCCACUGGGUCAGUCCCCUGCCUCCCAGAAAGCCCUUCCUUGAGUUGCACACUCUGGCCUGUUCCAAGCCCCUGCCAGGCUUAGUUCCCCCGGGAUUCUAGCCUUCAGCUUCCUGCUGCACCUGCCACAAGUCCCCUGUUGUCUUUUGGGUUCUCUGAGAAGGUAGUGUGGGAGACUGUGUCCCCCGACCUUGGCCUGAGGAAGGGACCUAGGAAACUCUCACACUCAUUCUCAUGGCCGUGUUUCUCUUUCCCCUCCCCUCACCAUCCACUGAGAAGCCUGGAGAAGAAUCAGAUCACCGCUUUGGGGGCCUGUCUCCUGGCUGAAGGACUGGCGCAGGGGUCUAGCAUCCAAGUCAUCCGCCUCUGGAAUAACCCCAUUCCCUGCGACAUGGCCCAGCGCCUGAAGAGCCAGGAGCCGAGGCUGGACUUUGCCUUCUUUGACAACCAGCCCCAGGCCCCUUGGGGUACUUGAUGGCCCCCUCAAGACCUUUGGAAUCCAGCCAAGUGAUGCACCCAAAUGAUCCACCUUUCACCCACUGGGAUAAAUGACUCAGGAAAGAAGAGCCUCGGCAGGGCGCUCUGCACUCCACCCAGGAGAAAGGAUAUGUGUGUCCUGCUGCAGUCCUCAGGGAGAACUUUUUUGGGAACCAGGAGCUGGGUCUGGACAAAGGAGUACCCUGCAUUACGUGGGAUAUGUGUGAUCAAUUGGGGACAUGCGACACACAAUGAGGGUGUCAUGACAAUGCAUGACACAUACGGUUUUAUGUGGCAGUGUGACCCCUUGACAUGUGGCAUUGCAUGAAAGUCAAUGUGGUGCGUGUUCUAUGGCAUGGGUCCUGGCAUCCCAAGUGGCAGGAUACACGAUUGUUGGUCUAUAUAUGACAUGUGACAAAUAUCCAUGUCACAGGACUCAUGGCUGGCCAGAUGACCUCAGGCUGGCCCAAGAUCUAAUUUAUUAAUUUUUAAAGCAAAUACAUAUUUAUAGAUUGCAUGUAUGGAGCAGCUAAGUCAGGAAAAGUCUUCCGCCCGAGCUGGGAGGGGAGAGUGUCCAUGCACUGACCAGUCCAGGGGCGCAAGGGCCAGGGCUCUGGGACAAGCCGGGGACUCAGCCAUGAAGUCCCCUCCUGCCUCAAUCCUCAGCCUACCCAUCUAUAAACUUGAUGACCCCUCCCUUACUUACAUACUAGCUUCCAAGGACAGGUGGUGGUAGGGCCAGCCUGGCGGGAGUGGAGAAGCCCAGUCUGUCCCGUGUAAGGGACAAAGCCAGGUCUAACGGUACUGGGUAGGGGGCACUGCCAAGACAAUAAGCUAGGCUACUGGGUCCAGCUACUACUUUGAUGGGAUUCAGGUGGGUCUCCAUGCACUUCACAUGUUACCCAGUGUUCUUGUUACUUCCAAGGAGAACCAAGAAUGGCUCUGUCACCCUCGAAGCCAAGUUUGAUCAAUAAACAUGAUGGUAUUCCA